RNAcentral lists this ribosomal RNA (267 nucleotides) under uncultured Staphylococcus sp. RNAcentral's name for it is "partial 16S ribosomal RNA". It matches the Rfam family "Bacterial small subunit ribosomal RNA", at positions 505 to 772 of the family's 1533-position model. Lineage: Bacteria; Bacillati; Bacillota; Bacilli; Caryophanales; Staphylococcaceae. The record is from RNAcentral.
GUGCCAGCCGCCGCGGUAAUACGUAGGUGGCAAGCGUUAUCCGGAAUUAUUGGGCGUAAAGCGCGCGUAGGCGGUUUUUUAAGUCUGAUGUGAAAGCCCACGGCUCAACCGUGGAGGGUCAUUGGAAACUGGAAAACUUGAGUGCAGAAGAGGAAAGUGGAAUUCCAUGUGUAGCGGUGAAAUGCGCAGAGAUAUGGAGGAACACCAGUGGCGAAGGCGACUUUCUGGUCUGAACUGACGCUGAUGUGCGAAAGCGUGGGGAUCAAA